CCUGAUGGCUCAGACGAUAAAGCAUCUGCCUGCAAUGUGGGAGACCCGGGUUCGAUUCCUGGGUCAGGA
RNAcentral lists this transfer RNA (69 nucleotides) under Ovis aries (sheep). It matches the Rfam family "tRNA". From Rfam's summary of the family: Transfer RNA (tRNA) molecules are approximately 80 nucleotides in length. Their secondary structure includes four short double-helical elements and three loops (D, anti-codon, and T loops). The record is from Rfam by way of RNAcentral. Lineage: Eukaryota; Metazoa; Chordata; Mammalia; Artiodactyla; Bovidae.